Molecule: ribosomal RNA, 241 nt
Filed under: uncultured bacterium
Lineage: Bacteria
Description: partial 16S ribosomal RNA
Rfam family: Bacterial small subunit ribosomal RNA
Source: RNAcentral
GAUCCUGGCUCAGGACGAACGCUGGCGGCGUGCCUAAUACAUGCAAGUAGAACGCACAGGAUACACCGUAGUUUACUACACCGUAUUCUGUGAGUUGCGAACGGGUGAGUAACGCGUAGGUAACCUGCCUGGUAGCGGGGGAUAACUAUUGGAAACGAUAGCUAAUACCGCAUAAGAACAUUUACUGCAUGGUAGAUGUUUAAAAGGUGCAAAUGCAUCACUACCAGAUGGACCUGCGUUG